UACAGAGGUCUCAAGCGUUGUUCGGAUUCAUUGGGCGUAAAGGGUGCGUAGGCGGCGCGGUAAGUCGGGUGUGAAAUCUCGGAGCUUAACUCCGAAACUGCAUUCGAUACUGCCGUGCUUGAGGACUGGAGAGGAGACUGGAAUUUACGGUGUAGCAGUGAAAUGCGUAGAUAUCGUAAGGAAGACCAGUGGCGAAGGCGAGUCUCUGGACAGUUACUGACGCUGAGGCACGAAGGCCAGGGGAGCAAACGGG
Molecule: ribosomal RNA, 253 nt
Filed under: uncultured bacterium
Lineage: Bacteria
Description: partial 16S ribosomal RNA
Rfam family: Bacterial small subunit ribosomal RNA
Source: RNAcentral